UAAUUUAUAAUGAGAAAACCACUCUACUACAACGGUUUUUGGGGCUAGCACCGGCCGUUAAUUUUUAUCUUUUUUUUUUGUCUUAAAAUUUUUUCGUCAUUGAGAUGCGUUGACUUUUUCAGUUUUUCUUUAUUUUGAAUUUUUUUAUGAUAUUAUUUUCUUGCCGAUUAUCAGCUUUGAUUUUUUUAAUUAUAUUUUUCCAUUAUUGAACAAUUUAAAUAAAAAUCAAGAAAAAAAAAAUCAACGCUGUUAAGACGACAUUCAACAUUGGUCAACAACGGGAAAAAAAUCAAUC
Molecule: long non-coding RNA, 295 nt
Filed under: Erythranthe guttata (spotted monkey flower)
Lineage: Eukaryota; Viridiplantae; Streptophyta; Magnoliopsida; Lamiales; Phrymaceae
Description: long non-coding RNA (EGUT_LNC001900)
Source: RNAcentral